AUCCCUUCUCCACCUGUUGGCUAAGAUCAAGUGUAGUAUUUGUUUUUAUCAGUUUAAUAUUUGAUAUGUCCUCUAUCUGAGAAGAAUAUAUAUAUUUUCCUAUGUUUUCAUUCUUUUUAAAAAAAUUUUAUCAGAGAAUCACUGUGAUGUACAGUUACAGACUUAUG
This 167-nucleotide small nuclear RNA is filed under the name Sorex araneus (European shrew). RNAcentral describes it as "U2 spliceosomal RNA (ENSSARG00000018032.1)". The stretch from base 1 to 108 matches the Rfam family "U2 spliceosomal RNA". From Rfam's summary of the family: U2 is a small nuclear RNA (snRNA) component of the spliceosome (involved in pre-mRNA splicing). Lineage: Eukaryota; Metazoa; Chordata; Mammalia; Eulipotyphla; Soricidae. The record is from RNAcentral.